This 373-nucleotide ribosomal RNA is filed under the name uncultured bacterium. Its description in RNAcentral is "bacterial SSU rRNA". It matches the Rfam family "Bacterial small subunit ribosomal RNA", at positions 527 to 898 of the family's 1533-position model. The record is from RNAcentral.
GGAGGGUGCAAGCGUUGUUCGGAAUUACUGGGCGUAAAGCGCGUGUAGGCGGCCCUGUAAGUCAGAUGUGAAAGCCCUCGGCUUAACCGGGGAAGUGCAUCUGAAACUGCUUGGCUUGAGUACGGGAGAGGGAGGCGGAAUUCCCAGUGUAGAGGUGAAAUUCGUAGAUAUUGGGAGGAACACCGGUGGCGAAAGCGGCCUCCUGGACCGAUACUGACGCUGAGACGCGAAAGCGUGGGGAGCAAACAGGAUUAGAUACCCUGGUAGUCCACGCGGUAAACGAUGGGCACUAGGUGUGGGGGGUAUCCACUCCUCCUGUGCCGAAGCUAACGCAUUAAGUGCCCCGCCUGGGGAGUACGGCCGCAAGGUUAAA